UCCUCCCCAGUGCCUCCAUCCCAUCCUCCCCUGUGCUGUGGGCAGGGUCCCGGCACUGGAGAGGUCCACCACCCACACAGGUAGCUCACUUUUAUGGGGCACUUACUAUCUACCAAGUACAGUUUUAAGGGUUGGACAUGUAGGAAUUCACUUAAUCAUAACAACCUUGGGGAAGGGACAGUAAUGAGACCCAUUUUCACAGGUGAGGAAACUGAGGCCGGGAGCUAGGAAGCUUGGGGAUUCAGUAACCAGCCUAAGCUCACACAUCCAGUGAGUGGCAGUGCAGGAUCUGAACCAGGAAGUCUGGUCCAGCGGCCCUGGCCUGAAGCAUAGGCUGCAUCAUCCUUCUGGUGAAUGAAGGGCCAAGGAGCUCUCUCCCUUUGCAUUGCAAAAGGCUGCCUUCUCCAAGCUGGAAGAAUUAACUGACCCCUAGGCCAAGCUGUGCCUCUUCCCUUUAGGAUUCCUCAGAAAAGUUGCAAAAAAGUCCCAAUAAGGGGAUAAGAGCUGUAAAAUCAGAUUGUUUUUAAUGCCUCUUAAGCCUUGUGUCCAGCAUUUAGCCUCUAAGACCGGCAUUCUGCCACCGAGCAAGAUGUCUCCCCCGCCCCGAUUUUCUUAUAAAGGAGGAAGGGCAAAAAUGCCGCAAACCUGGCCCCCAAAGGGGGUCCCGCUGUCCGAAGCCCCAGUCUCAGGCCGCCUGGGGGGCGGCCCCUGCCUGGGUCCCGGCGCCAAGCGCUCGCCCUGCUCUGGACCGCGCUGCAGCCUCCGCAUCCGGGAGGCACUCGGCGGAGGGCGGGGGCCGGGCCGCGGGGGCCGCUCUGCGCCUCGGAACCGGGCCCGGUUCGGGCCUCAGCAGCGCCCCAGCGCACCGCGCUCCUCCCCUCCCCUCCCCAAUCCCACCUCGGGUCCCGCGCCCUUAGAGGAAGUCGGUGGCUCGGCCCAGUCGCCAGCAGGGGGAUCGGCCCCUUCUCGCUGCUGUGCACCCGACUCGGGCUGUUCUGGGCACCGCCACGUCCUCUCGGUGGGCGCCGGUCGCCUCCUCCCGGGGCUGACCCCACGGGCCUCAGGGCCACCAGGCCACUCUUCCUUAAGCCUCGCCAGCUUGUGGGCGGCGGCCUGGGCGCGAUGUGUCACAGAGCUGUCCCCGCAGAGCGCCUCUCGGGGCGGCAGGCCGGUCCCCGCGCUGCCUCCGGCGUCUCCGCGGCUGGGCCUCCGCCGAGCCGGCUGCGGUCCACGUGGCUCCGGAGGAAGCCCCGAGCGAGCGGAGAGCCGAGCGGCGCCCGGGUGGGAGGGGGCCGGCGGGGCGGAGAGCCGCGGCGCCGAGGGCGGGCGCGGGGCGGAGGAAGGGGAGGGCCUGCGCGGCGGAGGCGCCCGCCCCGCUCCGGCGCGCCCCGGCUCCCGGCCCCGGGCGGCCUGGGAAGGCGGCUCCUCCCCGGCCGGCCCACCUCCCCCGCCCGUUACACCCGGGGGAAGGUGUUCCCGAGGCCGCUCCCAUCCUCACCCCGCCUCCCCGCUUCCCCGGCUCCAGCCUCCGCCGGCGGAGCUCCACUAUGCCAGACAGUUUCGACACUUUGCAAAGACAAAGACCAGAGGGAGGAGGAAGAGGAGGACGAGGAGGAAGAGGAGGAGGAGAGAGCGAAGGAAGAGGUUAUGUGAGCUGGGAAGAAGGCGAGGGUUCGGGAUACCCUCCUUGGAUUCCCCUCCUAACCCCCUCCUCCCCAAGCCCCGGAAACUCCAGCGUGUCCCCGGCCGCGGGCUUAAUCUCUGGCGUUGAAACGUCCCACGUCAAAGACGGUCUGGCCCUGGAGCUCCCAUGGUAACAGGUGUGCCGCCGGUUUCCCAAGGACAGAGCUGACCCAGAGGAAGUGACUAGCAAGGGAAGUCAUGAGCAGCCUCUCACCUUUGCCAGUUUGUUGGGUGACAAGUCACUGUCCUCCUGGGUGACAUGAUCAGGCCCUGCUUCCCUCUCUGACCUCGUCCUGUAAGAUUAUCCCUUUGCUCAGCACACUGGCACCGCGCCGGCCUCUCACUGACUCUUCCCUCUGUCUGAGCUCCUCCCCCCUCACCCCUGGCUCUGCGGGGAGCUCCCCUGCAACCUCUCCCCGGGGCCACCUCGCCUGUCCUCCCCUGGCAUGCCACCCCUUUAACUUCUGCACAAGUGUUUCCCGUGAUCUGCUCUGUCUGAUUUGACGUGUGACCAUCCGGACGAGAGGGCCUUUGCCUUGUUCACUGUUGUAUCAUCAGCUUCCAGAACAGGGCCAGGCACAUUCUGGGCCCCGAUGCUCGAUGACUGAUGGAUCCGGGUUGCUUAUUAUAAAGUCAAGAGUUUGGACCAAGCAGUUGCUGAGGAGCCUUCCUCCUCUUGAAAAAGUUCCCUGGACUUGAGAGCACUUCGCUUCCAGGAAUUUCUCUUCCCCACCAUCACUGCUCAGACCAGCCUCAUGCAGGGGUCUCGGUUCCUGCCCAGCGGAGCCUGAGGCAGGCAUUCGGGUGUGCAUGGAGCACUGAGGACGUGCUCCAGGAGAAGGGGCGAGGGAAGCAGGAGAGGGCAGGGGGAGGAUAGAGGCUGAGCGAGGAUGUGUCUACUGCUGGAGUUGACCUUCAGCUUGACCCCCCGGGAACCCUCGAGCACAAAGGGCACCCACCGCAGAGUUGGUCCCACUUUGAGGCGAAGGGGGCCAGCCUUAUGUAGCCGGGGGUCCCUCAGUCAUUACCUGGGGGCUGCCCAGGGUAGUGGGAGGCCAGGGAGUGGUCACCUCCCAGGCGAGGCAGCUCCUGUCUGGCUGGGGCAAUCGUCUGGAGCAAGGGGCAGCUGAGAGCUGCUAGCAGGCAAUGGCCACAGCGGCCCAGCCCAAAAAGGCCAUCAGGCUGGGCGCCAACAGCGUCUACCCCACAGGGCCCUGGCGCCCACAGUCCACCCCAGGUGGCCUCACCCCUGCUGAGGAAAGCUGAAACCUGCCUUUCCAGGUGAAGUGACUCCAAGGGUCACUGGGAGUCAUCUGCCACCCAAGGACAGUCCAGCAGCUCUUGGUAACCACCCCUGUCCCUCAGAGCCACUCAGGUUUCCUGCUCGUCCUCCAGCCCAGAGAAGAAAGAUUUAACGGACUUCCUUCUCUUAGUGUACCUACUGUGUGCCAGGAACUUUUUUGGGAGCUUUGCAUGUAUAAUCUCAUUGAACUCCCUCAACAACCCCACAAGGUGGGUCUUGGAAUGCCGAUGUCUACAAGAUGGAAGCCACGCUCUCAAGAACCAGUGCCAGGCUCGCCGCCUCCCUGAAGCCCUCCGGUCCAGCACGGCUUGUGCCGAUCUCUCCUGUCUCUUCUCUAACACAGAGCAUCCCAUCUCUUUCUCUGGAGACCAUGCCUCUACCUUCCCGCGCCCACUCUCCCCACACAGUGCCUAUCGCAAGGCUUGGGGGAAAGCAGACCAACAAACCAGGACCCCACAAACAAUCCAGAGCCCACCAACUCCUUGUGUAUAUCCUGAACUGAAUUCACAGUGACUGCCCGCUUCCCGUUCCAGGGUCCAGGGAGUGCGUGAACGGGCUUGACUGACCCAGAAAGAGACAAGGGGUUAUGAAGCGACUCAAAGAAAAGCUUGUUGGAUUGCAUUGAGUUUUGGUAAAUCCACCCACGAGGCAGAGAAACUUGACAUUAUUUGCCUUCCCAGCCGGCAUAAGGAAUGAGUCUCGUUUCCUCCUAGACGAGCUGAGGGCGGUGGAAGAUGCCUGGGCUGGAGUCAGGAGACCACGGUUCUGUUGCAAGUUCCAGGGCCAGUGGGCUGUGUGACCUUGGGGAAGAUGCUCCCCUUCUCCAAACCUCAGUUUCUCAUCUCUGCAGUGGGACUGGACGGGGAGAAGAGGAGCUAGCUCCUCAAGGUGCCUUCCAGCCUUCCUUCCAGUCCUUGCUUCCUUGCCCCUGGGUCUGGAGAGCUCAGCUUUGCCUUCACAAGAACAAGUGCCUCCCUGCUCCUCCCAUAGCCUGCUGCCCCUCUGAGUGGGACCAGCCCCUCCUCCUGUAGGUUGCAGACCUCCGGCUAUCUCCACUGAAGGACCGCUUGCUUUAAGGAUGUACUGAGAGAGGAGCUCUUGAUUCGAAUCCAGCCCCAUCCACCUGCAGCCUCCACACGGCACACCGUCAUCUUCCUUGCCAGCCAUAUUGAACACUUACUGUCAGGCUUUGUGCUGAGAACUUUCUGUCAUCUCUCACCGAAUCCUUGCAACAACCCCAGGAUGUGGGUGCUUUUAUUCUCUCUCUUCUGCAGAUGAGGAAACUGAGGCUUGGAGAAGUGACGUGGCUUAUCCAAAGCCACAGAGCUGGUGCGUGGCGGAGCCUGGGCUGGAAGUCAGUCCUCCGGACCACCUGCUCAGUUCUACUCAGCGUGAAUGUUGGUAGGAGACAGAAUAACUGCGAAAGGAAGGCUGCAUGUGUCAGCUUUGCUGCAUAGCAAACAAUCCCCAAGUCUCAGCGACUUACAACAGAUGCUUAUUUCUUAUUCCCGUCACGAGUAGACUGAGGGUCAAUUGCAGGCCACCCGUGGCUCAGCGAUGCUCCUGGCGUUUUCUUGUUCUCGGUCGAAGGUCAACGUUGAAGGUGGUCGCAGUCUAGACAUGCCCCGCCCGUGCCAGAACUGAAAGAACCAUGCAAUCAAACUGAAAGCUUCCUCUUAGAGAUGGCCCCGGUCCUAUCUGUUCAUACUCUGUUGGGCAAAGCAAGGGAGAUGACCAAGCCCAGCAUCAGUGGAACGGGGAGGUGCAGCCCUCCCACAGCGGGGGGUGUGAGGCAAUAAAUGUUUGCGUUAUGCAACUGGCCACAGACCGCUGGGCUCUGCGGCCAGAUGCGUGGGGCUGACCCCUGGCUCUGCAUCUUUGAAGCCACGUGGCCUUCAGCACAGUGCUUCACAUCCCGGUGCCUCAGCUUCCCCAUCUGUAACAUGGGGAUGCUCAUUAUAGCUCUGUAGCAGUCUCCAAGGGCUGCUGUAACAAAGCACCACAAACUGUGUGGCUUAAACAAGAGAAACGUAUUUUCUCACAGUGCCAGGGGCUAGAAGUCCAAGAUCAAGGUGCUGUCAGGGUUGGUUUCUGGUGAGGCCUCUCUUCCUGGCGUGUGGACAGCCAGCUUCUCGCUGUGUCUUCACACGGCCUUUCUUCUGUGUGUGCAAAGAGAGCACUGUCUGGUCUCCCUUUUCCUAUAAGGGCACCAGCCCUGUCGGAUUAGGGCCGCACCUUAUCACCUCUUUUAACCUUAACUACUUCCCUGAAGGCCCUAUCUCCCCAUACAGUCACAACAUAUGACUUUGUGGGGACACAAUUCAGUCCAUCGCAAGGCGCUAUUCCAUAGGGCUGUUGGGAGGAUUGAGUGGGUCAGUGCCUGGCUCACAGGGGAGCACUGAAGAGAUGCUAGGUUGCUAUUGGUACUUGGUUGUGUCUUGUCCCAUGCUAUGCUCAUUGCACAUUCCCCGGCAAUGAGGAGUCCUCAUUCCUUUUAUCUUUAUAUCCUUGGUACCCAUCUCAAUUUCAGGCACAGACUAGGUGAUCAGAAAAUAUAUUUUUGGAAUCCUACAAUAAAGCACAAGGCAGUUUCCAGGAGCCAACCAGGGUUGGGGGUCGCUGGGCUGUGCUCCCAGCUACGUCACUAACCGGCAUGUGACCUUGGGCAAGACUCUGUCUUAUGCCAACCAGGAUCCAUCAUAUUAAGACAGAGGUCGUUUUACCAGCAAAAUCUCAGCAGAUUUCAUUUUUCCAUGGCUUUUUUGCCUACACUGCAGUAGUUGGGCAACGUUCAGAGCCAAAGUUGACUUAGAGAGAUCUUUUUUUUAACAAAUAUCUUGUUAUAAACUCCAAAGUGGCUGCAAUUCUCCAAGCCCCCUCCCACAGGUACUGUCCCCCACCAGCAAAGCACCACAGUGACCGUGCGUGACAGCGCUGGGCAUAGCUGGGCACCAGGAGGACUUAUUCUUGCUGCUUUGUGUCUGGGGAGGUUUCUGAGUCUUGCUUAUGAGUCUGGGUGUGUUUUGAUCUUAAAUAGCCACUCACAGAUGCAGAACCACCAGGCUCGGAGCGACCUCUUGGGAUUCCGUGGCAGCGCUCAAAAACCUCGUGUCUGUCUCUCCUUCGUAAUUUGUGUUACCUUUCCCGCGUCUGGCCUUGCUUAGGAAGGGCUGUGUCUGAGGUCAUUUGUUUAGCAGAGGGCUCCAUUAGCUGGGGAUGAAAACAUCAAAGGACAUGGGGACAGCCAGCCUUUCCAAGCUCUCUGCCUGAUGUACCUCAGCUCGGCAGUGUCACAGAGAGCACUAUGUGAAAGUUCUGGGCCUCCUCCCAGUGGCUGUGAAUUAAUUAUUGGUAUGAUGAAUAAUUCAGUGUGUGUGGACUCUCUCAGGCUUCAUUUCCUGAGAAAUGGGAACAGUGAUACUUUGCAUGAGGCAUGUGGCAUCUGACCCAGAGUAGUUGAUGAUGGUGAGGAGAUGAUGAUGAUGGUGAUGGUGAUUGUGAUGGUGGUGAUGAUGAUGGUGCUGGUGGUGGUG
Molecule: RNA transcript, 6519 nt
Organism: Equus quagga
Lineage: Eukaryota; Metazoa; Chordata; Mammalia; Perissodactyla; Equidae
Gene: ST3GAL1
Gene name: ST3 beta-galactoside alpha-2,3-sialyltransferase 1
Exons: 3
Source: RefSeq, a predicted model, not a curated record